UACGGGAGGCAGCAGUGGGGAAUCUUAGACAAUGGGCGCAAGCCUGAUCUAGCCAUGCCGCGUGAGUGAUGAAGGCCUUAGGGUCGUAAAGCUCUUUCGCUGGGGAAGAUAAUGACUGUACCCAGUAAAGAAACCCCGGCUAACUCCGUGCCAGCAGCCGCGGUAAUACGGAGGGGGUUAGCGUUGUUCGGAAUUACUGGGCGUAAAGCGCGCGUAGGCGGACUGGAAAGUUGGGGGUGAAAUCCCGGGGCUCAACCUCGGAACUGCCUUCAAAACUCCCAGUCUUGAGUUCGAGAGAGGUGAGUGGAACUCCGAGUGUAGAGGUGAAAUUCGUAGAUAUUCGGAAGAACACCAGUGGCGAAGGCGGCUCACUGGCUCGAUACUGACGCUGAGGUGCGAAAGUGUGGGGAGCAAACAGGAUUAGAUACCCUGGUAGUCCACACCGUAAACGAUGAAUGCCAGUCGUCGGCAAGCAUGCUUGUCGGUGACACACCUAACGGAU
RNAcentral lists this ribosomal RNA (502 nucleotides) under uncultured Citreicella sp. Its description in RNAcentral is "bacterial SSU rRNA". It matches the Rfam family "Bacterial small subunit ribosomal RNA", at positions 340 to 860 of the family's 1533-position model. Lineage: Bacteria; Pseudomonadati; Pseudomonadota; Alphaproteobacteria; Rhodobacterales; Roseobacteraceae. The record is from RNAcentral.